CAGCCGCCGCGGUAAUACGGAGGAUCCGAGCUUUAUCCGGAUUUAUUGGGUUUAAAGGGUGCGUAGGCGGCACUUUAAGUCAGGGGUGAAAGACGGCAGCUCAACUGUCGCAGUGCCCUUGAUACUGAAGUGCUUGAAUGCGGUUGAAGACGGCGGAAUGAGACAAGUAGCGGUGAAAUGCAUAGAUAUGUCUCAGAACACCGAUUGCGAAGGCAGCUGUCUAAGCCGUUAUUGACGCUGAUGCACGAAAGCGUGGGGAUCGAACAGGAUUAGAUACCCUGGUAGUCCACGCCCUAAACGAUGAUGACUCGAUGUUUGCGAUAUACCGUAAGCGUCCAAGCGAAAGCGUUAAGUCAUCCACCUGGGGAGUACGCCCGCAAGGGUGAAACUUAAAGGAAUUGGCGG
RNAcentral lists this ribosomal RNA (405 nucleotides) under uncultured microorganism. Its description in RNAcentral is "bacterial SSU rRNA". It matches the Rfam family "Bacterial small subunit ribosomal RNA", at positions 509 to 916 of the family's 1533-position model. The record is from RNAcentral.